AACGCACAUUGCGCCCGCCAGUAUUCUGGCGGGCAUGCCUGUCUGAGCGUCAUUUCAACCCUCGAGCCCCUCUGGACUCGGCGUUGGGGACUGGCCGUCCUAGCGGCGGCCUGCCCCGAAAUAUAGUGGCGGUCUCGCUGUAGCCUCCUCUGCGUAGUAGUAAAGCCCUCGCAGGCGGAGAGCGGCCUGGCCACGCCGUAAAACCCCCCCCGAACAUCCAAGGUUGACCUCAGAUCAGGUAGGAAUACCCGCUGAACUUAA
Molecule: unclassified non-coding RNA, 261 nt
Filed under: uncultured fungus
Lineage: Eukaryota; Fungi
Description: sequence contains ITS2
Rfam family: 5.8S ribosomal RNA (bases 1-52)
Source: RNAcentral